AAUCCAUAGGUUAAUGAGGCGAACCGGGGGAACUGAAACAUCUAAGUACCCCGAGGAAAAGAAAUCAACCGAGAUUCCCCCAGUAGCGGCGAGCGAACGGGGAGGAGCCCAGAGCCUGAAUCAGCAUGUGUGUUAGUGGAAGCGUCUGGAAAGGCGCGCGAUACAGGGUGACAGCCCCGUACACAAAAGCGCAUGUGCUGUGAGCUCGAUGAGUAGGGCGGGACACGUGGUAUCCUGUCUGAAUAUGGGGGGACCAUCCUCCAAGGCUAAAUACUCCUGACUGACCGAUAGUGAACCAGUACCGUGAGGGAAAGGCGAAAAGAACCCCGGCGAGGGGAGUGAAAAAGAACCUGAAACCGUGUACGUACAAGCAGUGGGAGCACAGGUUUACCUGUGUGACUGCGUACCUUUUGUAUAAUGGGUCAGCGACUUAUAUUCUGUAGCAAGGUUAACCGUAUAGGGGAGCCGUAGGGAAACCGAGUCUUAACCGGGCGUUAAGUUGCAGGGUAUAGACCCGAAACCCGGUGAUCUAGCCAUGGGCAGGUUGAAGGUUGGGUAACACUAACUGGAGGACCGAACCGACUAAUGUUGAAAAAUUAGCGGAUGACCUGUGGCUGGGGGUGAAAGGCCAAUCAAACCGGGAGAUAGCUGGUUCUCCCCGAAAGCUAUUUAGGUAGCGCCUCGUGAAUUCAUCUCCGGGGGUAGAGCACUGUUUCGGCUAGGGGGCCAUCCCGGCUUACCAACCCGAUGCAAACUGCGAAUACCGGAGAAUGUUAUCACGGGAGACACACGGCGGGUGCUAACGUCCGUCGUGAAGAGGGAAACAACCCAGACCGCCAGCUAAGGUCCCAAAGUCAUGGUUAAGUGGGAAACGAUGUGGGAAGGCCCAGACAGCCAGGAUGUUGGCUUAGAAGCAGCCAUCAUUUAAAGAAAGCGUAAUAGCUCACUGGUCGAGUCGGCCUGCGCGGAAGAUGUAACGGGGCUAAACCAUGCACCGAAGCUGCGGCAGCGACGCUGAUGCGUUGUUGGGUAGGGGAGCGUUCUGUAAGCCUGUGAAGGUGGCCUGUGAGGGUUGCUGGAGGUAUCAGAAGUGCGAAUGCUGACAUAAGUAACGAUAAAGCGGGUGAAAAGCCCGCUCGCCGGAAGACCAAGGGUUCCUGUCCAACGUUAAUCGGGGCAGGGUGAGUCGACCCCUAAGGCGAGGCCGAAAGGCGUAGUCGAUGGGAAACGGGUUAAUAUUCCCGUACUUGGUGUUACUGCGAAGGGGGGACGGAGAAGGCUAUGUUGGCCGGGCGACGGUUGUCCCGGUUUAAGCGUGUAGGUGUGUGUUCCAGGUAAAUCCGGUUCACUUUAACACUGAGGCGUGACGACGAGGCACUACGGUGCUGAAGCAACAAAUGCCCUGCUUCCAGGAAAAGCCUCUAAGCAUCAGGUAACAUCAAAUCGUACCCCAAACCGACACAGGUGGUCAGGUAGAGAAUACCAAGGCGCUUGAGAGAACUCGGGUGAAGGAACUAGGCAAAAUGGUGCCGUAACUUCGGGAGAAGGCACGCUGACACGUAGGUGAAGUGAUUUACUCAUGGAGCUGAAGUCAGUCGAAGAUACCAGCUGGCUGCAACUGUUUAUUAAAAACACAGCACUGUGCAAACACGAAAGUGGACGUAUACGGUGUGACGCCUGCCCGGUGCCGGAAGGUUAAUUGAUGGGGUCAGCGCAAGCGAAGCUCCUGAUCGAAGCCCCGGUAAACGGCGGCCGUAACUAUAACGGUCCUAAGGUAGCGAAAUUCCUUGUCGGGUAAGUUCCGACCUGCACGAAUGGCGUAAUGAUGGCCAGGCUGUCUCCACCCGAGACUCAGUGAAAUUGAACUCGCUGUGAAGAUGCAGUGUACCCGCGGCAAGACGGAAAGACCCCGUGAACCUUUACUAUAGCUUGACACUGAACAUUGAGCCUUGAUGUGUAGGAUAGGUGGGAGGCUUUGAAGUGUGGACGCCAGUCUGCAUGGAGCCGACCUUGAAAUACCACCCUUUAAUGUUUGAUGUUCUAACGUGGACCCGUUA
This 2057-nucleotide ribosomal RNA is filed under the name Salmonella enterica subsp. enterica serovar Muenchen. RNAcentral's name for it is "partial 23S ribosomal RNA". It matches the Rfam family "Bacterial large subunit ribosomal RNA", at positions 161 to 2238 of the family's 2925-position model. The record is from RNAcentral. Lineage: Bacteria; Pseudomonadati; Pseudomonadota; Gammaproteobacteria; Enterobacterales; Enterobacteriaceae.